GACGAACGCUGGCGGCGUGCCUAAUACAUGCAAGUCGAGCGCAGGAAACUGACGGAACUCUUCGGAGGGAAGGCAGCGGAAUGAGCGGCGGACGGGUGAGUAACACGUAAGGAACCUGCCUCAAGGAUUGGGAUAACUCCGAGAAAUCGGAGCUAAUACCGGAUAGUUCAACGGACCGCAUGGUCCGCUGAUGAAAGGCGCUCCGGCGUCACCUUGAGAUGGCCUUGCGGUGCAUUAGCUAGUUGGUGGGGUAACGGCCCACCAAGGCGACGAUGCAUAGACGACCUGAGAGGGUGAUCGGCCACACUGGGACUGAGACACGGCCCAGACUCCUACGGGAGGCAGCAGUAGGGAAUCUUCCACAAUGGACGAAAGUCUGAUGGAGCAACGCCGCGUGAGUGAUGAGGGUUUUCGGAUCGUAAAACCCUGUUGUAAGGGAAGAACACGUACGAGAGGAAAUGCUCGUACCUUGACGGUACCUUACGAGAAAGCCACGGCUAACUACGUGCCAGCCGCCGCCGUAA
Molecule: ribosomal RNA, 524 nt
Filed under: uncultured bacterium
Lineage: Bacteria
Description: partial 16S ribosomal RNA
Rfam family: Bacterial small subunit ribosomal RNA
Source: RNAcentral